AAUGAACGUUGGCGGCGUGGAUUAGGCAUGCAAGUCGAACGCUUCAUGUAGCAAUACAUGAGGAGUGGCGUAAGGGAGAGUAAUACAUAGUUAGCUACCCUCGGGUCUGGGAUAGCGGCGGGAAACUGCCGGUAAUACCAGAUGAUAUCUUCGGAUCAAAGGUGUAAUUUCGCCCGAGGAGGUGACUGUGUCCUAUCAGCUUGUUGGCGGGU
This 212-nucleotide ribosomal RNA is filed under the name uncultured bacterium. Its description in RNAcentral is "partial 16S ribosomal RNA". It matches the Rfam family "Bacterial small subunit ribosomal RNA", at positions 29 to 257 of the family's 1533-position model. The record is from RNAcentral.